UCAAAUUUGAAAUCUGGCGGCCUCGUCGUCCGAGUUGUAAUUUGAAGAAGGUAUCUUUGGGUCUGGCGCUUGUCUAUGUUCCUUGGAACAGGACGUCACAGAGGGUGAGAAUCCCGUGCGAUGAGCAGUCCAGAUCCGUGUAAAGUUCCUUCGAAGAGUCGAGUUGUUUGGGAAUGCAGCUCUAAGUGGGUGGUAAAUUCCAUCUAAAGCUAAAUAUUGGCGAGAGACCGAUAGCGAACAAGUACAGUGAUGGAAAGAUGAAAAGAACUUUGAAAAGAGAGUGAAAAAGUACGUGAAAUUGUUGAAAGGGAAGGGCUUGCGAUCAGACUUGGUAUUUUGUAUGUCUUGCUUUCGGGCGGGGCCUCUGCAGUUUACUGGGCCAGCAUCGGUUCGGGUGGCAGGACAAUUGCGGAGAAAUGUGGCACGGCUUCGGCUGUGUGUUAUAGUCUCUGUCGAUACUGCCUGCCUG
Molecule: ribosomal RNA, 469 nt
Filed under: Spathaspora sp. BG090815.8.5.3.3.17
Lineage: Eukaryota; Fungi; Ascomycota; Pichiomycetes; Serinales; Debaryomycetaceae
Description: eukaryotic LSU rRNA
Rfam family: Eukaryotic large subunit ribosomal RNA
Source: RNAcentral